AUUGAGGUCUAUCCCAGUGGGGCUUUUUCUGUAGACCUACAGUGUUGGAAACGCUUCAGAGAGUAACUUUCCUUUCCAUAGGUUUCCUUUCCCCACGGAACUACAUGUCAGAUCUGCGGGAAAGAACUACAAGACAGAG
This is a small nucleolar RNA of Camelus dromedarius (Arabian camel), 139 nucleotides long. NCBI's taxonomy places the organism in Eukaryota, Metazoa, Chordata, Mammalia, Artiodactyla, Camelidae. The record is from Ensembl.